GACGAACGCUGGCGGCAUGCCUAAUACAUGCAAGUUGAACGAUGAUAUUCUCUGCUUGCAGAGAAUUGAAGAGUAGCGAACGGGUGAGUAACACGUGGGGAACCUGCCCAUGAGAGGGGGAUAACAUUCGGAAACGGAUGCUAAUACCGCAUAAUGCUUUGGACCGCCUGGUCCAGAGACGAAAGACGGCUUUUGCCGUCACUCAUGGAUGGCCCCGCGCCGUAUUAGCUAGUUGGUGAGGUAAUGGCUCACCAAAGCUGUGAUACGUAGCCGACCUGAGAGGGUGAUCGGCCACACUGGGACUGAGACACGGCCCAGACUCCUACGGGAGGCAGCAGUAGGGAAUCUUCCACAAAGGGCGAAAGCCUGAUGGAGCAAUGCCGCGUGAAUGAAGAAGGUCUUCGGAUCGUAAAGUUCUGUUAUUAGAGAAGAACAAGUCAAGGAGUAACUGUCUUGACUUUGACGGUACCUAACCAGAAAGUCACGGCUAACUACGUG
This 498-nucleotide ribosomal RNA is filed under the name uncultured bacterium. Its description in RNAcentral is "partial 16S ribosomal RNA". It matches the Rfam family "Bacterial small subunit ribosomal RNA", at positions 28 to 507 of the family's 1533-position model. The record is from RNAcentral.